RNAcentral lists this transfer RNA (76 nucleotides) under Lentisphaera profundi. RNAcentral's name for it is "tRNA-Lys". It matches the Rfam family "tRNA". From Rfam's summary of the family: Transfer RNA (tRNA) molecules are approximately 80 nucleotides in length. The record is from RNAcentral. RNAcentral also lists the same sequence under 1 other name. Lineage: Bacteria; Pseudomonadati; Lentisphaerota; Lentisphaeria; Lentisphaerales; Lentisphaeraceae.
GAGUUGUUAGCUCAGUCGGUAGAGCAACGCCCUUUUAAGGCGUGGGUCCUGGGUUCGAGCCCCAGACAACUCACCA